Uloborus diversus is the source of this 647-nucleotide long non-coding RNA. RefSeq lists it as uncharacterized. The transcript has 2 exons. The record is from RefSeq and is a predicted model, not a curated record. Lineage: Eukaryota; Metazoa; Arthropoda; Arachnida; Araneae; Uloboridae.
UUUGCACACGAGUUUGCGGUCUCUGGGUAUAUAAACCGGCGGGCUUGACAGCGUAAUAACAUACGAUAGAUUUUCGAGUCAUUUUCAGUUUCUGUCUUGCCUCUCUGUUGAGAACUCACAACUUAUUUACAAUGGCCGAUGUUGAAAAAUCUUGCUGCGCUGAGACCAAGGAUUGCUGUGAUGUAGAUGCUAACUGCUGCGAGAAUGGUAAGGGAGCUUGCCAUGAAAAGGACGCAGACUGUUGCAAGGACGGUUGCCACACCACAAAACCAUGCGGUUGCAAAGCCAAUGAGGCCUGCAAAUGUACGGAAGGCAAAUGUGCCUGUUAGCUAUCUGCCUUCUUCAGGCAUUUUUUCACUAUAGCACCUUCAUGGGUCCUUGGUUUUCUCCUGGGGUUGCCAUCAAUCGAAGCGUCUAAGACAACAUCAGAGAUAUCAAUUACAACAGAUCAAGAAUGCUACGAUCAAAAACAUACUGUUCUAUCAAGAGACCUGUCGAUGGCAACUAAAAUUAAAAUUCUCACUAUUUCUGUUUUACAUUAAAUGUUUUAUUUCCGGUCGUUUCGUAUAUUUUUAAGUGAUCUUAAAGGAUCUUAAGUUUUCUGUAUGAUUUUAAAGUUUCGUCCAAUAAAGUCAAGUUUCUUUUCA